Molecule: long non-coding RNA, 506 nt
Organism: Ornithorhynchus anatinus (platypus)
Lineage: Eukaryota; Metazoa; Chordata; Mammalia; Monotremata; Ornithorhynchidae
Exons: 2
Source: RefSeq, a predicted model, not a curated record
CUGUUCCAGAGCUUCAAACGGUGAACAGUUUCUCCACUACCUCCCCGUGUCUCUCGACAUCAAACCCAAACUGCUCCCGGUUGGUUUCGACGUUGGUCACCACCAGAUUCGGGACCGGCCAAAAGCUGAUUCUUUCUCUUUAAACACCGAAGCAAGAGAUGUGUUCGGGUGUUCUUCCGAUCCCUGUCUCUCCAGCAACAGAUGUCUUUCGAAGGGGGCCGACUGGAAGGGAAAGAAAGAAUUUUAAUCAUUUUCCUCCGCGAGUAAAUCUUCCCCGGCUGGCAGAAGAAACGCCCUAGCUCACCAUCCUUCAUCCUCACCCCUUCUCCUCCUCGGAUCCAGUCUGGCGACCGGUGCCAAUUCAGUGCGAAGACGGCAAAGGAGAAGGGAGGUUUCUCACCCGCAAAGUCUGAGAGAUAUUAAGUCGUCCUGUUCGAAAAGCAAAACGAAAGCCUCUGAGAUGGAAACCACUCGCGGCCAACGAUAAAGUGCCCAGGCAAAACAAA